UACCUUUUAGUAUAUGUUGUACACUAAUUUUUGAUAUUAGUAGAAAUAGUUAAAUUCUAUUAGGGGUAA
This 69-nucleotide transfer RNA is filed under the name Chaetocnema hortensis. Its description in RNAcentral is "tRNA-Gln". The record is from RNAcentral. Lineage: Eukaryota; Metazoa; Arthropoda; Insecta; Coleoptera; Chrysomelidae.